This 617-nucleotide long non-coding RNA is filed under the name Sparus aurata (gilthead seabream). RNAcentral describes it as "lncRNA (ENSSAUG00010015073.1)". Lineage: Eukaryota; Metazoa; Chordata; Actinopteri; Spariformes; Sparidae. The record is from RNAcentral.
GUGCACACUAUCUCAUUGGACAGCAGCGUUGUCCAUCACACACUCUGCAUUGUGAUUGGUUGGUUGAUUUUGAAGACUCGCUGUACAGAAAGAUAGCUGGGAGCGAAAACAAAACACACAUAUGGACCUCGAAAAAGAAGGAAAAGUCGUUGAGUGAUCUCUUCAGUCUGCUGAGGUUGAGCUGAAUAGAUGAGGUACAUCAUGCACUAUGGCACAUGGGAUGGAUGGGCAUCGGUUGAGAAGGCAUUUGGUGAGGUGAUCAUGGUCAAAGAAGUCCUCAUACACAAAUACUGCUGAAAGAUUAAAGUAAUGAAAUGCUCUGCAUUGUUGUGCAGCUGUGUGGAACACUGUUAGACACUUCUUUUAAGAAGUUUCACUGAGAAGAGACACAUUAAUAAACUGUCUUUACACUACCAGCUGAAAUAGUCAGUUGUUACAGGUUGGUUAAGGCAAUCUGCAUUUUUUUCUGAAGACAUCACUGUUGUCAGAAAUGUUAAAUGUUAUCAUGAUUCUGUGCAAACUGUGCUUUAUAAAGUGCUGCUGUGUUGUAUACUAAAGAUGGUGAUUUGAAUAAAGGUCUUUUUUCAUUUCAUUGCUCAUUUUUGUUUCCAAAGGAG